Molecule: ribosomal RNA, 492 nt
Filed under: uncultured bacterium
Lineage: Bacteria
Description: partial 16S ribosomal RNA
Rfam family: Bacterial small subunit ribosomal RNA (bases 54-492)
Source: RNAcentral
GGGGGGGGGGGGGGGGGGGGCGGGCGGGGGCGGGGGGGGCGGCGGCGGAGUGGGGGGGGGGUCGGACGGGUGGCGAGGGGCGGACGGGUGAGGACUACAUGGGGAUCGAGUUUUUCGGGGGGGCUACCGGCGGGAACCGUACGCUCAUCCCGCAUACGCCCUACUGGUGAAAGCAGGGGAUCUUCGGACCUGGCGCGUUUGACUGAGCGGAGGUCGCAUUAGCUAGUUGGCGGGGUAAAGGCCCACCAAGGCGACGAUCCGUAGCUGGUCUGAGAGGAUGAUCAGCCACACUGGAACUGAGACACGGUCCAGACUCCUACGGGAGGCAGCAGUGGGGAAUAUUGGACAAUGGGCGCAAGCCUGAUCCAGCCAUACCGCGUGGGUGAAGAAGGCCUUCGGGUUGUAAAGCCCUUUUGUUGGGAAAGAAAAGCAGCAGGUUAAUACCCCGCUGUUCUGACGGUACCCAAAGAAUAAGCACCGGCUAACUUCGUG